This 497-nucleotide ribosomal RNA is filed under the name uncultured bacterium. RNAcentral describes it as "partial 16S ribosomal RNA". It matches the Rfam family "Bacterial small subunit ribosomal RNA", at positions 28 to 523 of the family's 1533-position model. The record is from RNAcentral.
GAUGAACGCUGGCGGCGUGCUUAACACAUGCAAGUCGAACGAAGCACUUUUAUUUGAUUUCUUCGGAAUGAAGAUUUUAGUGACUGAGUGGCGGACGGGUGAGUAACGCGUGGGUAACCUGCCUCAUACAGGGGGAUAACAGUUAGAAAUGACUGCUAAUACCGCAUAAGACCACAGCACCGCAUGGUGCAGGGGUAAAAACUCCGGUGGUAUGAGAUGGACCCGCGUCUGAUUAGGUAGUUGGUGGGGUAACGGCCUACCAAGCCGACGAUCAGUAGCCGACCUGGGAGGGCGACCGGCCACAUUGGGACUGAGACACGGCCCAAACUCCUACGGGAGGCAGCAGUGGGGAAUAUUGCACAAUGGGGGAAACCCUGAUGCAGCGACGCCGCGUGAGCGAUGAAGUAUUUCGGUAUGUAAAGCUCUAUCAGCAGGGAAGAAAAUGACGGUACCUGACUAAGAAGCACCGGCUAAAUACGUGCCAGCAGCCGCAGUAA